UGUCAAAAUUCUCAACUUUUAUCGGCGUAGACUCGUACACGAUAAAUUUCUUCUUGGUAGAGUAGACUCGCAGUAAUUAUAAAGUUAUAAAUUAUAAACCGUUUGGCUAGCAGUCGUGGUGUAACUGGGGUUGCUGAGCAGCUUAAUAAAACAUUUACUAAUUGCUCUGGAAAAUCUACAAUAAAUAACAAAUACAGGGGAACGGUCAUAGACGCAGUGGUUAUAACCGAUGGGGUAACAAUUCAAGGAACAGCACCUUUGGGAGUGAUAGCAACAACAGCUAUAAUACAGAUAAUGGGCCUAGUAUAGAUGCAUAUUUGCACCCUUCAAUGCUGGAAGAUCCGUGGGCUCAACUUCGCCAAAACACGAAAUAAUGACCUACAAAUCAAUAUUUUCUAAGCAAGUUUUUGAUGAAAUGGACAGCAUCUUUGUUGUGAUCAAUAAUUUAAAAAUAGCCAAGGAAUUAUUUUUAUGUAUAGAUAGACAGUGUUACAUAAUGUAGAUAUUUUCCUGACCUAUAUUAUAAAAUUUUAAAUUUUUUAAUAAUAAAAUUUGAUUUUUAAUUCUGUUGACUACGAGAAUAUUUAGAUAUAUUCAAUAUAAACAUAGAUAAUACAUAGGGUAAACAAGUAUUUUUAGUAGCUUUAAGUCUUGGUAAAAGUUUUAACAGUAAUUAGCAACUGUGAUGCCUUGAAAAGCAAUAACUAUUGUAUUUACAGUGUAUUUUAGUUUUUACAUUCUAUUAUUUCUGUUCGUAGAUAAGAUAGCUUAGUCUAUUUAAGUAAUUAUAAAGAUUAAAUUGUAAUUAAGUGGAAAGAGCAGUCAUAUAAGACUGUUUUGUGAAAAUCUUUAAAAUUAAUAAUAAAACUUGUAUAUUCCUGACUCAUUCUACUAAAAAUGUUUGCAAUGCAUAAAAAGUAUUUGACUCUUGUAUUGUGGCUUUGCUUAAGAGUCAGAAACAAUGUUAUAUUUCUAAAUUUAUUCUGGUAUUCAGGGUCCAGAUGUACUAAAUUGUAUGUUUCUCCGUUACCAAUAAGAUUUAAGAAAAAAAAAUAGCUUGUUUAACCAAGUUGAAUUUUGGAAUCAUUUUAUAAGAAAUCAAUACAUUUGUAUGUUAUUGUGCAUAGUUUGACUUAAAUCAGUGACCUUCUACAGCUGUGAGCAAAUCCGGAAAAAUAUGUAAUAAAUAAAAUGUUAAUAAAGUUUAGUCAAAAUACAAGAAAUAAAAUAUAUAAUAAUAUGAAGUAAGUAAUGGUAAGUACUGCUAAAUAAUAUGGGCCCGCAUGGGUAGGAACUACCACCCUGCCUAUUUCUGCCGUUUUGUUUAUCAAAACAAAAUGGCAAAAACAAAACAGGCCCCGUGUGCCCUUAUGGUAAAGACGGUAUUGGGUGGCGGCAUAUAUGUUAUUCUUUGUGUUGACGUCUGAGCUCAGGUAACCACUAACAUUAGGCGGGCGGUGUUCUCAUCGACCCAUUUAAGCACUAAAAAAAAAACUGUUAUUUAUGGUAUUAUGACGUCAAAAGGGAAUCAAGUAAACAUUUUCUAGUACUUACAAAUACAUUACACAGAUUUGGAGGGAAUCAUUUUGAUCGUGUGACACGCAAUAUGUAGUUAAUUUAGAAAAUUCUUAAAUUAGCUGAAAUAUUUUGUUUUUAUAACUAUAUACUACAAAGGAAUUAAAUAAAAUAGAUUUUAAUAACCAA
Bombyx mori (domestic silkworm) is the source of this 1704-nucleotide RNA transcript. RefSeq lists it as uncharacterized. The record is from RefSeq and is a predicted model, not a curated record. NCBI's taxonomy places the organism in Eukaryota, Metazoa, Arthropoda, Insecta, Lepidoptera, Bombycidae. The transcript has 3 exons.